UGCGCGGGGCGGCCGCCGCUCAUGGGCACCGCCCGCGGGCCGGAGGGACAUGGCGGGGCCGGAGUGCUCUGCCGGGCCGGCUCCUGCGAAGGGAGGGGGCUGCCGGGCUGCCCGGCUGCCCUUCUGGGAGCCCAGAGACCGGGGGAGACAGUGGUGUCCCUCCCCCGCCCCGCUCAGAAAAGCCCCAACCCCACAGUGCUGCCCACAGAGGCGCCUCUGCCGGAGAGGCCAAAAGGGUCUGGGAGGGAAGCGCUGCUGUGGUUAUCUGGCCGUCUGGCAGGCUAGGAGUUUGGAAGAUCGCAGAAUCAAUUAGGUCUCUGACCUAUAACUGAACCUAUGACUUCCAACCUAUAACUCAGCCACCACCAUGUCUACUAGACCACGACCCUAAAUGCCAUGUCCAGUGUUUCCUUAAACACCUCCAGGGACAGUGACUCCACCAGCUCCCUGAGCAGACCAUUCCAAAGAUGACAAAAGACUGCCUUGGAUUGAAGGUGGAAUUCAGUUACGCUGCAGGCAAUACAAGCAGGGGAGAGAGAAGCUAGGAAGAGGAAGAGGAAGGAGAGCGAAAGAAACUACGUUUCCCGGCGUGCCCCCGCGGCCUCGGGGCGGCGCGGGCGGAGGGAAGGGCAGGGAGCCGCCGUGGGAGACGUACCAUGGGCGCCUGA
This is a long non-coding RNA of Ficedula albicollis (Collared flycatcher), 668 nucleotides long. RefSeq lists it as uncharacterized. The record is from RefSeq and is a predicted model, not a curated record. NCBI's taxonomy places the organism in Eukaryota, Metazoa, Chordata, Aves, Passeriformes, Muscicapidae. The transcript is spliced from 3 exons.